This 24-nucleotide non-coding RNA is filed under the name Arabidopsis thaliana (thale cress). Lineage: Eukaryota; Viridiplantae; Streptophyta; Magnoliopsida; Brassicales; Brassicaceae. The record is from RNAcentral.
ACCUGAGGCAAAGGCGAUGGAUGG